Molecule: unclassified non-coding RNA, 432 nt
Filed under: soil metagenome
Description: partial contains 5.8S ribosomal RNA, internal transcribed spacer 2, and large subunit ribosomal RNA
Rfam family: 5.8S ribosomal RNA (bases 1-120)
Source: RNAcentral
GAUGAAGAACGUAGCGAAAUGCGAUACGUAAUGUGAAUUGCAGAAUUCAGUGAAUCAUCGAAUCUUUGAACGCAUAUUGCGCUCUUUGGUAUUCCGAAGAGCAUGCUUGUUUGAGUAUCAGUAAACACCUCAAAGCUUUUGGAUUUUUUUUUGAAAGCUUUGGACUUGAGCAAUCCCAACACCAAUCUUUUUCAGAUCGGCGGCGGGUUGCUUGAAAUGCAGGUGCAGCUGGACUUUCUCCUGAGCUAAAAGCAUAUUCAUUUAGUCCCGUCAAACGGAUUAUUACUUUUGCUGCAGCUAACAUAAAGGGAGUUUGACCGCAUUGGCUGACUGAUGCAGGAUUUCACAAGGGUCGGCAACGAUUCUUGUUAAACUCGAUCUCAAAUCAAGUAAGACUACCCGCUGAACUUAAGCAUAUCAAUAAGCGGAGGA